GGUGUGAGCAGAGAGACGACAGGGACCCUGUUAUGACACCACCAUAUAGACAGGAGACUGUAGAGCUUUCUGGCAAGUGAAUGCCAAAGUACAGCAGGGGACAGGCAGGUUUAGGGACAUUUAGGGACUGCUAUGGGCAUGCUUUGCGACAAGACAGUGUGUUCCAGGUAAACGGGAGGGAGGUGUCAAGGUGAAGAUACCCUGUUUCCAAUUUGGGUUACUGAAUGAGUGACAGCGGAGCCAUCUGAGGACACAGUGCCAGCAGAGGAGCAGGUGUGAAGGCCAAGUCCGGGCACUGCAUCCUGGACGGGAAUAUCAGUGAGAGGUAAUUUACAGGAGCAGAACCACUCAAAGACAACUGCAUCACAAAGCCCACCUCAGCGUGGGGGACAGCUCACAAAAGCUGGGAAUCUAGAGCACACUGCAGGACUUUGAAGCAGCUUGACAAGUUGGAGUGUCCUGUCAGACAACUCCACUGGUUAUGUCAAGAUGUGUCAAUUAAAGGUAACCAUCACAGAAGGGUGUAUUCUGGCUCCACAGUCUAAGGGUGUAGCCCGACAUAAUGGAAAGAACUGAAGGCAGCUGGUCACCUUGCAUUUGUAGUCAGGAGGCAGAGAGAGAUGAAUGCUGGUGUUCAA
Molecule: non-coding RNA, 638 nt
Organism: Peromyscus maniculatus bairdii (prairie deer mouse)
Lineage: Eukaryota; Metazoa; Chordata; Mammalia; Rodentia; Cricetidae
Source: RefSeq, a predicted model, not a curated record